Molecule: ribosomal RNA, 253 nt
Filed under: uncultured bacterium
Lineage: Bacteria
Description: partial 16S ribosomal RNA
Rfam family: Bacterial small subunit ribosomal RNA
Source: RNAcentral
UACGGGGGGGGCAAGCGUUGUUCGGAAUUACUGGGCGUAAAGGGCUCGUAGGCGGCCAACUAAGUCGGAUGUGAAAUCCCCAGGCUCAACUUGGGAACUGCAUCCGAUACUGGAUGGCUUGAAUUCGGGAGAGGGAUGCAGAAUUCCAGGUGUAGCGGUGAAAUGCGUAGAUAUCCGGAGGAACACCGGUGGCGAAGGCGGCUUCCUGGACCGACACUGACGCUGAGGCGCGAAAGCUAGGGGAGCAAACGGG